Molecule: ribosomal RNA, 630 nt
Filed under: uncultured Alphaproteobacteria bacterium
Lineage: Bacteria; Pseudomonadati; Pseudomonadota; Alphaproteobacteria
Description: bacterial SSU rRNA
Rfam family: Bacterial small subunit ribosomal RNA
Source: RNAcentral
GGAGUGGCAGACGGGUGAGUAACGCGUGGGAAUAUCCCCCUCAGUACGGAAUAGCCCAGGGAAACUUGGAGUAAUACCGUAUACGUCCGUGAGGAGAAAGAUUUAUCGCUGAGGGAUUAGCCCGCGUAGGAUUAGCUAGUUGGUGAGGUAACGGCUCACCAAGGCGACGAUCCUUAGCUGGUCUGAGAGGACGAUCAGCCACACUGGGACUGAGACACGGCCCAGACUCCUACGGGAGGCAGCAGUGGGGAAUAUUGGACAAUGGGCGCAAGCCUGAUCCAGCCAUGCCGCGUGAGUGACGAAGGCCUUAGGGUUGUAAAGCUCUUUUGGCGGGGACGAUAAUGACGGUACCCGCAGAAUAAGCCCCGGCUAACUUCGUGCCAGCAGCCGCGGUAAUACGAAGGGGGCUAGCGUUGUUCGGAAUCACUGGGCGUAAAGCGCACGUAGGCGGACUUUCAAGUCAGGGGUGAAAUCCCGGGGCUCAACCUCGGAACUGCCUUUGAUACUGUUGGUCUCGAAUCCGGUAGAGGUGGGUGGAAUUCCUAGUGUAGAGGUGAAAUUCGUAGAUAUUAGGAAGAACACCGGUGGCGAAGGCGGCCCACUGGACCGGUAUUGACGCUGAGGUGCGAA